GACGAACGCUGGCGGCGUGCCUAAUACAUGCAAGUAGAACGCUGAAGAGAGGAGCUUGCUCUUCUUGGAUGAGUUGCGAACGGGUGAGUAACGCGUAGGUAACCUGCCUUGUAGCGGGGGAUAACUAUUGGAAACGAUAGCUAAUACCGCAUAACAAUGGAUGACACAUGUCAUUUAUUUGAAAGGGGCAAUUGCUCCACUACAAGAUGGACCUGCGUUGUAUUAGCUAGUAGGUGAGGUAACGGCUCACCUAGGCGACGAUACAUAGCCGACCUGAGAGGGUGAUCGGCCACACUGGGACUGAGACACGGCCCAGACUCCUACGGGAGGCAGCAGUAGGGAAUCUUCGGCAAUGGGGGCAACCCUGACCGAGCAACGCCGCGUGAGUGAAGAAGGGUGUCGGAUCGUAAAGCUCUGUUGUAAGUCAAGAACGAGUGUGAGAGUGGAAAGUUCACACUGUGACGGUAGCUUACCAGAAAGGGACGGCUAACUACGUG
This 497-nucleotide ribosomal RNA is filed under the name uncultured bacterium. RNAcentral describes it as "partial 16S ribosomal RNA". It matches the Rfam family "Bacterial small subunit ribosomal RNA", at positions 28 to 507 of the family's 1533-position model. The record is from RNAcentral.